Capsicum annuum is the source of this 1149-nucleotide long non-coding RNA. RefSeq lists it as uncharacterized. NCBI's taxonomy places the organism in Eukaryota, Viridiplantae, Streptophyta, Magnoliopsida, Solanales, Solanaceae. The transcript has 2 exons. The record is from RefSeq and is a predicted model, not a curated record.
ACAAAAACUCGGGGUAUUUUUCCCUCCACUCUUUAUUUACACCUGCUAUUUUUAAUAUCAUAAUUUUAAAAAUAAAAAAAAAUAACUGAGAAAAUCACUUUUGUAGGGUUAGGUUCCCCAUUUCAUUCACUUUGGUCUUCUUGAGAAAAUCAGUAAAUUGCAGCGGUUCCCCCAUUUCAAUUAAGAAAGUUUUUGUUUUGCCAAAAACUUAGUUGGGUCGAUUCUUGAGGGCUUGGAUCGAUUGGUAACUUGAGGUUUGUUCUUGAGUAAAUUGCAGCCUUGGAUGUCAAAAUCAACUUUCAGGCUAUUUAAUGGGUAUUGGAGAUAGAAGUUGGAUGUAUCUCUCAAGAUCUGCCGAUGAGUACGAAAAUGGAGUCAAGGAUUUUCUCAAUAAGGCAUUUGAACGAGCAUCUCUAGGAAAUGAAAUAUUAUGCCCCUGCAGAUUAUGCUUUAAUCUCUAUUGGCAUUAUCGAGAUGUGGUGGAGAAUCAUUUGUUUGGUCAUGGAUUUGAUCCUAAUUACACUCAAUGGGUUUUCCAUGGAGACGGAGUUUCAUCAACAAAUAUUCCACCUCCAAGUCAUGAAGGGCAUGAAGGAGUAAGCCAUGGACUAUCUGAUGACCAACAUGAUGAUAUUGAUAAACUACUUCAUGAUACUUUUAGAAAUGUAGAAGAUGAGUAGAGGCAUGAAGGACAUGGAGGAGUAAGACGGGGACUAUCUGAAGAUGUUAAGCAAUUUUUUAAAUUAGUAGAGGAAGGAAAAUAAUAUUUAUAUCCGGGGUGUAAGAAUUUUUCUAAGAUGAGUUUCACCAUCCGAUUGUACUUGUUUAAAUGCAUUCACGGGCUGAGUAGUAUAGCUUUCUCAGACUUGCUAGACUUGAUGAAAGAGGCUUUUCCAUUCGCUCAGAUUUUCGAGUCUUUCCACAAAGCAAGAAAGGUGAUAAGAGAUUUGGGUCUCAAUUAUGAAAAGAUUCAUUCAUGUCCUAAUGAUUGCAUAUUUUUCUGGAAUGAUAAUUCAAAUCUCGAUAAUUACGUUGUGUGUGGGUCUUCUAGAUGGAAGAAUGUUGUAACACCCCGUAUUUUUGAUCUAGAAAGAAAACCAUCAUUCCUAUGUGUGUAAGCUCUAAUUCCAUGGUUUAUAUUUAAAUUCA